CCUACGGGAUGCAGCAGUCGAGAAUCAUUCACAAUGGGGGAAACCCUGAUGGUGCGACGCCGCGUGGGGGAAUGAAGGUCUUCGGAUUGUAAACCCCUGUCAUGUGGGAGCAAAUUAAAAAGAUAGUACCACAAGAGGAAGAGACGGCUAACUCUGUGCCAGCAGCCGCGGUAAUACAGAGGUCUCAAGCGUUGUUCGGAAUCACUGGGCGUAACGCGUGCGUAGGCUGUUUCGUAAGUCGUGUGUGAAAGGCGCGGGCUCAACCCGCGGACGGAACAUGAUACGGCGAGACUAGAGUAAUGGAGGGGGAACCGGAAUUCUCGGUGUAGCAGUGAAAUGCGUAGAUAUCGAGAGGAACACUCGUGGCGAAGGCGGGUUCCUGGACAUUAACUGACGCUGAGGCACGAAGGCCAGGGGAGCGAAAGGGAUUAGAUACCCCAGUAGUC
This 446-nucleotide ribosomal RNA is filed under the name uncultured bacterium. Its description in RNAcentral is "partial 16S ribosomal RNA". It matches the Rfam family "Bacterial small subunit ribosomal RNA", at positions 338 to 795 of the family's 1533-position model. The record is from RNAcentral.